RNAcentral lists this ribosomal RNA (437 nucleotides) under uncultured Oscillospiraceae bacterium. RNAcentral's name for it is "bacterial SSU rRNA". It matches the Rfam family "Bacterial small subunit ribosomal RNA", at positions 341 to 792 of the family's 1533-position model. The record is from RNAcentral. Lineage: Bacteria; Bacillati; Bacillota; Clostridia; Eubacteriales; Oscillospiraceae.
ACGGGAGGCAGCAGUGGGGAAUAUUGGGCAAUGGGCGAAAGCCUGACCCAGCAACGCCGCGUGAAGGAAGAAGGCCUUCGGGUUGUAAACUUCUUUUGUCAGGGACGAAGGACGUGACGGUACCUGACGAAUAAGCAACGGCUAACUACGUGCCAGCAGCCGCGGUAAUACGUAGGUUGCAAGCGUUGUCCGGAUUUACUGGGUGUAAAGGGCGUGUAGGCGGAUUUGCAAGUCAGAUGUGAAAUCCCGGGGCUCAACCCCGGAACUGCAUUUGAAACUGUAGACCUUGAGUAUCGGAGAGGCAAGCGGAAUUCCUAGUGUAGCGGUGAAAUGCGUAGAUAUUGGGAGGAACACCAGUGGCGAAGGCGGCUUACUGGACUGUAACUGACACUGAGGCUCGAAAGCGUGGGGAGCAAACAGGAUUAGAUACCCUGGUA